UGAUGAGAAGACAGUAAAUUUUAUUAUUUGAUUAUAAUCAUGUUCAGCUUUAUUUUCUGUUGUCUGAUGUAAUUGAAUAUAGAAAUUUUUUAUUUUACACAUAUGUAACAUAGUUUCGUUAUAACAUGCAAUUAAUCCCCUUUCUAGUGAUCUCGUGCAAUUAAUUUUAUUAUCUACUUUAGUUAUAACAUAUUGAUGUCCUAUUAUAAUAUCACAUCUAAAAUUUUCAUUAUUUUGAAAUUGGCAUCCAUAUGGAUAGAGGAUAGAAUAUAUAUACAUAUAACACAUUGUCUAACCUAUGUGUUAUAAAAGGCAAUAAAGGAUCCCCAGUCAUAAGGUAAAGUGAGCUAAAGUGUUGAGGAGAUGAAUGACAGAGAGAAAGAAGUUAUUAACAGUGCCUAUCAAGAACUUGGUUAACUUUCAGCAGAUAUGGGAACUUUCAGGAUUUUGUGUGGGUAAAGGUGGACUAUGCCCACAUUGACUUAUAUAUCCUGCCAGUAUUACACCUCUCAUGGAGAAAAUAAAUACUAAUAAUUCAAAAUCUUCAAAAAUAUUAUUAGAGGAUGAUGAUGAUGAUAAAUAUUAUCCUCUUUUCAAAAGAGCCUGCACUGAUGCCAAAUCAGUUAAAGCAUUACCAUAUACCAAUCCACCACCACUUACUAUUUUCAUCAUUUCACAUUCUGAGAGUGAUGUGUCUUUGGGGAAACUCUUCCCAUUCUUCAUUGAGAAAGCCAUCCAUGAAAUCUUGAUGUGCAAAACCUCCAAAAACUCAUCAGAUCAGAUGACUUUUUAGAAGUUUAUCAUAAUAUGGCUGCUUUAUUUCUAAAUUUCACAAAACUUGCUGGCAAGCCAGUGUACUUUUUAAUGAACAAAAUCCUCAAUACUUUAUAAGGGGUUAAUUAGUGAAUCUGAUUUAAUGGAUAUAUAUUCUGCUCUUAAAUAAAGCACUCUUUGCACUAAAUAUUUUCUAACGAUCUUUAAUCAAAACACUCAAAUGUUUUCAGUGGUUCAAACCACCAUCACCACCAUGCAAUAGAAGCAAGAAACGAUCGAGAUGACAACUAUUUGCCAGUCCCGUAUGGUACCUCCAGAUUAAGAUCAGUUAGGAGUAUAGCAUGCAAAGCUCAGAA
Molecule: long non-coding RNA, 1130 nt
Filed under: Androctonus crassicauda
Lineage: Eukaryota; Metazoa; Arthropoda; Arachnida; Scorpiones; Buthidae
Source: RNAcentral